AAUCCUGGCUCAGGAUGAACGCUAGCGGCAGGCCUAANACAUGCAAGUCGAGGGGCAUCGGGAUUGAAGCUUGCUUCAAUUGCCGGCGACCGGCGCACGGGUGCGUAACGCGUAUGUAACCUACCUAUAACAGGGGCAUAACACUGAGAAAUUGGUACUAAUUCCCCAUAAUAUUCGGAGAGGCAUCUCUCCGGGUUGAAAAACUCCGGUGGUUAUAGAUGGACAUGCGUUGUAUUAGCUAGUUGGUGAGGUAACGGCUCACCAAGGCAACGAUACAUAGGGGGACUGAGAGGUUAACCCCCCACACUGGUACUGAGACACGGACCAGACUCCUACGGGAGGCAGCAGUGAGGAAUAUUGGUCAAUGGACGCAAGUCUGAACCAGCCAUGCCGCGUGCAGGAAGACGGCUCUAUGAGUUGUAAACUGCUUUUGUACGAGGGUAAACUCACCUACGUGUAGGUGACUGAAAGUAUCGUACGAAUAAGGAUCGGCUAACUCCGUG
This 503-nucleotide ribosomal RNA is filed under the name uncultured bacterium. RNAcentral's name for it is "bacterial SSU rRNA". It matches the Rfam family "Bacterial small subunit ribosomal RNA", at positions 15 to 507 of the family's 1533-position model. The record is from RNAcentral.